Molecule: ribosomal RNA, 377 nt
Filed under: uncultured eukaryote
Lineage: Eukaryota
Description: partial 18S ribosomal RNA
Rfam family: Eukaryotic small subunit ribosomal RNA
Source: RNAcentral
CAAUAGCGUAUAUUUAAGUUGUUGCAGUUAAAAAGCUCGUAGUUGGAUUUCGGGUGGGACGCAGCGGUCUCGCAUUGCGUUUGUACUGCUGCAGCCCUCCUUCUUGCCGGGGGCGGCCUCUCGGACUUCACUGUCUGGGGGUCAGAAUCGGCGAUGUUACUUUGAGUAAAUUAGAGUGUUCAAAGCAAGCUUACGCUCUGAAUAUAAUAGCAUGGGAUAACACGACAGGACUCUGGCCUAUCGUGUUGGUCUAUAGGACCAGAGUAAUGAUUAAGAGGGACAGUCGGGGGCAUUCGUAUUCCGUUGUCAGAGGUGAAAUUCUUAGAUUUACGGAAGACGAACAUCUGCGAAAGCAUUUGCCAAGGAUGUUUUCAUUG